RNAcentral lists this microRNA precursor (78 nucleotides) under Schistosoma mansoni. RNAcentral describes it as "mir-3492 microRNA precursor family". It matches the Rfam family "mir-3492 microRNA precursor family". Lineage: Eukaryota; Metazoa; Platyhelminthes; Trematoda; Strigeidida; Schistosomatidae. The record is from Rfam by way of RNAcentral.
AGCAUUCUGUAUCCGUGCUGAUAUUUCGUCACACACCAGGCCACAAGGUCUGAUGAGACCCUUAAAAUAAGUGAAGCG